Molecule: ribosomal RNA, 462 nt
Filed under: uncultured bacterium
Lineage: Bacteria
Description: partial 16S ribosomal RNA
Rfam family: Bacterial small subunit ribosomal RNA
Source: RNAcentral
GACGAACGCUGGCGGCGUGCUUAACACAUGCAAGUCGAGCGGAAAGGCCCUUCGGGGUACUCGAGCGGCGAACGGGUGAGUAACACGUGAGUAACCUGCCCCAGACUUUGGGAUAACCCUCGGAAACGGGGGCUAAUACCGGAUACGACACAGCUUCGCAUGGGGUCUGUGUGGAAAGUUUUUCGGUUUGGGAUGGGCUCGCGGCCUAUCAGCUUGUUGGUGGGGUGAUGGCCUACCAAGGCGACGACGGGUAGCAGGCCUGAGAGGGCGACCGGCCACACUGGGACUGAGACACGGCCCAGACUCCUACGGGAGGCAGCAGUGGGGAAUAUUGCACAAUGGGCGGAAGCCUGAUGCAGCGACGCCGCGUGAGGGAUGACGGCCUUCGGGUUGUAAACCUCUUUCAGCAGGGACGAAGCGUAAGUGACGGUACCUGCAGAAGAAGCGCCGGCCAACUACGUG